AAAGUACGUAGAACAUGGUGCAUCCGGGAGGAUUCGAACCUCCGACCGCUCGGUUCGUAGCCGAGUACUCUA
Molecule: transfer RNA, 72 nt
Filed under: Escherichia coli
Lineage: Bacteria; Pseudomonadati; Pseudomonadota; Gammaproteobacteria; Enterobacterales; Enterobacteriaceae
Description: tRNA-Arg(tcg)
Source: RNAcentral